This is a non-coding RNA of Populus trichocarpa (black cottonwood), 127 nucleotides long. NCBI's taxonomy places the organism in Eukaryota, Viridiplantae, Streptophyta, Magnoliopsida, Malpighiales, Salicaceae. The record is from Rfam.
UAGUUUGUCUAGGUUAGAUCCUCAUCUAGUUGCGUCAGAUCCUCACUUGAAUGCUCAUAACCUUUAGUUUCUACAAGUCCAGCUGCAUCACUUUGAAGAGAUGUUGUGUUUUAAGGAAGCACAAAAA